Molecule: long non-coding RNA, 993 nt
Filed under: Zostera marina
Lineage: Eukaryota; Viridiplantae; Streptophyta; Magnoliopsida; Alismatales; Zosteraceae
Description: long non-coding RNA (ZMAR_LNC001062)
Source: RNAcentral
UUAAAUCAAUUGAAGGGUUAUGAUUUAUGAAAUGAAACCCUGAAAAUUAUGAUUUAACAAUGAUGAAUUUAUUAUAUCAAUUAAUUUACCAUUCAUUUCCCAAAAGAUUCCUUCUCCAAAUCCAAAUCUUAAAUCUAGCCACCAUGGAUGAAUGCAUCGAUCUCGAUCCCAUCCUUACCCACCACACCUUCUUUAUUAAUUAGCAUCACAUGGUUUCUGUCUUCUUUCUCGUCUAGCUUAUACCAAUGUUACCAACUCCCAUUCAAUUCUGCAGCUCUCUCUCUCUCACUCACUACUGUUCUAGCUAGCUCGGCACAUUUACACAAACAAUUCUUUCAUCUUUUAGGGUUUUUAAAUCACACUUCACAUCACAGAUUCAUAGCUACGUACAUGAUCGACUGAUCUCUUUUUUUGUUUUGUUUUUUUGUUUGUUGUUAUUACAUGCAGUCAUGUAGAUGCGUGUGUUCAGCAGGUUUUCGUGAGCAACUUCAUUUCAACAAUACCUGAACAAGCUUGCUAGCCAACUGAACAAGUGAUCUCAAGUUAGAAAUCUGUAUGUAUGCAUGCAUAUAUCAACUGAUAAGAACUACUUACUGCAAACCAAAUUAAAAAGAAGAUACAUGGCCGGAGAAAGCUUGAUAUAUAUCGAAUACCGGUUGAGAGGAAUGAAGCCUGGUCCGAGAUCACUUAGAUAUCCCAGCCAACAUACUUGAGAUCGAGGAUUCAUGUAUAUCGGAUAUCUACAUGACCUCGAGCCAAACAACAUUCCCCUCAACAUAGUUUCAACUAGCUUCCGGCUUAAUUUCUUCUUUCAGAUUUAGAGAAAAGGAGAAGAAGAGGAGGAGGAGGAGGAGGAGAUUGAGAAUGGAAUGGAAUGGAAUGGAAUGGGCCAUUGAAGCUCUAUAUAUAUCCACAUUCACUCUCAGGUCAUUUAAGAGGAUGGGCCCUUCAUGUCUUCUGCAUCUCACCUUCCAUUCACAGUCAACAGCACAG